GACGAACGCUGGCGGCGUGCUUAACACAUGCAAGUCGAACGGAAAGGCCCUGCUUGCAGGGUACUCGAGUGCGAACGGGUGAGUAACACGUGGGUGAUCUGCCCUGCACUUCGGGAUAAGCCUGGGAAACUGGGUCUAAUACCGGAUAGGAGCCAUUUUUAGUGUGAUGGUUGGAAAGUUUUUUCGGCGUAGGAUGAGCUCGCGGCCUAUCAGCUUGUUGGUGGGGUAAUGGCCUACCAAGGCGGCGACGGGUAGCCGGCCUGAGAGGGUGGACGGCCACAUUGGGACUGAGAUACGGCCCAGACUCCUACGGGAGGCAGCAGUGGGGAAUAUUGCACAAUGGGCGCAAGCCUGAUGCAGCGACGCCGCGUGGGGGAUGACGGCCUUCGGGUUGUAAACUCCUUUCGCUAGGGACGAAGCUUUUUGUGACGGUACCUAGAUAAGAAGCACCGGCUAACUACGUG
This 464-nucleotide ribosomal RNA is filed under the name uncultured bacterium. RNAcentral describes it as "partial 16S ribosomal RNA". It matches the Rfam family "Bacterial small subunit ribosomal RNA", at positions 28 to 507 of the family's 1533-position model. The record is from RNAcentral.